GUGCAGUCGACGGAUUAAGAGCUUGCUCUUUAGUUAGUGGCGAACGGGUGAGUAAUAUAUCGGAACAUAUCCGGAAGUGGGGGAUAACGUAGCGAAAGUUACGCUAAUACCGCAUAUGCCCCGAGGGGGAAAGGGGGGGAUUCGUAAGAACCUCUCGCUUUCGGAGUGGCCGAUAUCGGAUUAGCUAGUAGGUGAGGUAAAGGCUCACCUAGGCGACGAUCCGUAGCGGGUCUGAGAGGACGACCCGCCACACUGGAACUGAGACACGGUCCAGACUCCUACGGGAGGCAGCAGUGGGGAAUUUUGGACAAUGGGCGAAAGCCUGAUCCAGCCAUACCGCGUGAGUGAAGAAGGCCUUCGGGUUGUAAAGCUCUUUCAGCCGGAAAGAAAUUGCACUUCUUAAUACGAAGUGCGGAUGACGGUACCGGAAGAAGAAGCACCGGCUAACUACGUGCCAGCA
RNAcentral lists this ribosomal RNA (460 nucleotides) under uncultured bacterium. RNAcentral's name for it is "bacterial SSU rRNA". It matches the Rfam family "Bacterial small subunit ribosomal RNA", at positions 55 to 513 of the family's 1533-position model. The record is from RNAcentral.